RNAcentral lists this ribosomal RNA (314 nucleotides) under uncultured Acaulospora. RNAcentral describes it as "SSU rRNA". It matches the Rfam family "Eukaryotic small subunit ribosomal RNA", at positions 570 to 886 of the family's 1831-position model. Lineage: Eukaryota; Fungi; Glomeromycota; Glomeromycetes; Diversisporales; Acaulosporaceae. The record is from RNAcentral.
GCAGCCGCGGUAAUUCCAGCUCCAAUAGCGUAUAUUAAAGUUGUUGCAGUUAAAAAGCUCGUAGUUGAAUUUCGGGGUCUGUCCAUUGGUCGGGCUUUACGGUCCGUACUGGUGUGAUAGGUUCCUACCUUCUGAAUAACCGGCAUGCCAUUUAGUUGGUGCGCCGGGGAAGCAGAGCUAUUACCUUGAAAAAAUUAGAGUGCUUAAAGCAGGCUAUUGCUUGAAUAGAUUAGCAUGGAAUAAUAAAAUAGGACGGCAUGGUUCUAUUUUGUUGGUUUCUAGGAUCACCGUAAUGAUUAAUAGGGAUAGUUGGG